This 2900-nucleotide small RNA is filed under the name Arabidopsis thaliana (thale cress). Its description in RNAcentral is "ATSL268610". The record is from RNAcentral. Lineage: Eukaryota; Viridiplantae; Streptophyta; Magnoliopsida; Brassicales; Brassicaceae.
AAGUAGCAUAUACUUCUCAUUUUCGUAGAAAAGAAGUUUUUACCUAGUUUUAUUUCCGCAGACCUUGUGUUCUAGACUUUUUGUAAUCCGGAUUUCUCUUUAUCUAUUCAGUAUUCAGCUUUGGUUCUUGAUUUUCGUUUACUGUUGUUCAUUCUGUUAUCACACUACUGUUACACUGUUGUUAUCAUGUCUUCAACCUGUUCAACGUUUAUGCUUUCUGUUAUGAUGUCUGAGUAGUGAAUAGGUUUCUGAGGAUGGGUUAGAGUAGUGUAGAAUUCUCAGUAUGCUAGGUGAUUGAGUAUUGAUUGAUAGAUCCCUUCUGGAUUAGUUGUUCUUAAUGCCUAUUGCUUUCUGAUCAACUGGAAUUUGAGCCCAGAUAUUUCCGCGCCCAAAAGGUAUUCGAUGAAAUGUCUGAACCACUAAUUCCAGAGAUUCGUGACCCUGUACCAAGGUAUUGGUUGCAGGGAGCGUUUUGGCUUUAACUUGUUGAUUCGUAAUGCCUGUUAGGUUAGCUUUCGUCAAUGGUGAUUGAGUCUGGGACUAGGUUAGCUUGAGAGUCUCUGUUGCGGUGGCACUUAGAUUUGGUUAAUGAACUUGUUGUCUAGGGUUAAUUUAUUGAGCAUGUCAAUCACCUGUAAACUGAGGAAACGAAACUACUCAAUUAUCCCAUCCUUAGAAAUUCUUUAUCUGAUUGAUUUUAUUGUUUACUCUACUACUGUUUACUGCAUCCUGUCAUCUGUUGCUUAGUUUCUGCAAUUCUUUACUGUUACUCGAUCUGAUACUCGACCACCCAGUUGUCUAGCAACAGACUAUGCAGUCGAGUAUCCCUGUUUCAUUUCCUGUCUGUUACUCGACCUGUCACUCGACCUCACCCAGAGCUCUGCAAAGAGCUGUGUUGGUCAAGUGUUUUACUGUUUCUGUUUGAUUUUCUGUUUUCUGCAUGUUCACUUAGGACUGCUAGAACACACCAAAACCUGUUAUGCUUGGCUUGACUUAGUGACUUCUGAUCACAUCUUGAUUGUUAGCAUCACACCCAUUUGGAUUGACAACCUAAAAUACUACAAUGACAUGAUUGGUGUUUUAGGAUAAUUGACUAAAAACCUAUUAUCAAGAGUCAACGGGCAAAGUCUUUUCCCAAAGAUGAGCUUUAUCUCCAAGUGAGAAAGGGAAUAACCUGAGCUUGAAGCUGUCUUCACUAACUCCAUUGAUCUUAGUGAGACUACAACGUCUAUCAAAGUUAUCAAGAUGAUCCAAUGGGUCCUCCAUUGGCAGUCCAUGAAACUUGUUUGAUUGUAGGAUUUUUACUCAAUUAAUCCCUAAAACACUAUCCUGUCGUUGUAGUAUUUUAGGAUGUCAAUCCAAUCCGGUGUGAUGCAAACAGAUGAGAAAUGAUCAGAAAGCUCUAAGUCAAGCCAAGCAGAAAGUUGGUUGGUUCUAACAGUCCUAGUAUACAAUAACAGAAAUGAAAUGAAACUAAAAGCAGAAAUGGCAAUAGCAGGCAAGUAAAUGACAAAGCAUAAAUGAUAACAUGCAAUCAAAUGGAUAAAUGAUUCCUAAGGAUGGGGUAAUCGAACAGUGUGGUCUACUUAAUCUAUUCAGGCGGUUGACAAAACUUCACAGAAGCUAUCCCUAGACAACAAGUUCAACAACAGAUUAAUUCACUCCUGUGAUAGAAAUCCUCAAGCAAAGCUAGACACUGACCUAAAUCCCUUUAGCGAUCUCUAACUAAGCAGGCAUUAUCGAAUCAACAUGUUAAAGUCAAUACCCUCUCUACAGCCAAUCCCUUGGGGUAGAGUCAGAUAUCUCUGGAAUUAAUAGGAUCCAACGCCCAUUAAACGCCUUCUGAGCGCUGGACGUCUGGACUCAUACUCCACAUUAGCUAGUGAAACAAGCAAUAAGCGCAACUAAUCCAGAAGGGAUUCUAGAAUUCUAAACUCAACCGCCUAAAACGACCAAGUAAACCACAACUAUUCUAUCCCAUCCUCAGAAAUACAGUUCAUUACUCCGACAUAAUCAAAGACAAUAACAAGGCAACAAUUGAAAACAUGAUAACAGAAAUGACGAAAGACUAAAACAAAAACUGAAUAUCAAAUACUUGAAAGCGAAACUACAAAGUCGCAGGAGAAACACUGCGGCUAUCAAAGUUGCGAAAAUGUAAAAGCGAGAUAAUAAUGGAUAAUAGCGGAUGCCCUAGGGAAAACCCUAAGAGGCAGUUUAUAUAAGCGAGAAAUAAAACAAAUAAGGAAACUAAAUAUAUAGCGAAUCUUCACGUCAUGAUCCUGCGACCGAAUAUGUCAUUGGCAUCUGACGGGCUGAAAUGAGCUUCCUAGUGAUCGAGUAUGUCAUUGAUCAAACUGGGCUUCAGGGGCUCCGUCUUGCGAUCGAGUGAGAUGCAGUGAAGUCGAGAUUGAAUGGUCCAGCGACCCUGUGAUCGAGUGCGAUCGAGUGGAUGUCAUGAGGUGGUGAUCGAGUGGUUUCUUCGACUUCUCUUCUCUUCUUUGUUCUCAGCUUGUCUGGUUGAGUGCAGAAUGAGCAGAUAGGCUUCCUGGUGAUCGAGUGGUUCCGAUGGGGUGAUUCCUCCGGCUUCGCGAUUGAGUGAAACUGAGCUGCUUGCUUCUCCGGGGUUGCGAUAGAGUGAUUUGCCCUGGCAGGGCUCCGAGGCUGCGAUAGAGUACUUUUGCUGAAGGCGUCAUUGGGCAUUCUGACUUCAUGUUCUGUUUUUCCUCUGUUUGAACUCCAAAAGCAUCCAAAGUACCUGAAAACAACCAAAUAUGCCAUGCACAUGCAAUCCUAAUGCAAAAUCGUCCUAAGUAUGUAAAACACACUAAAACGACUCCUAAUGAGAUGAAAUGUGGAUGAAACAAUGACAAACUGGUGAAGAAUGGAUGCCUAAAUCAUGU